CGCUCUUAGUUCAGUUCGGUAGAACGCAGGUCUCCAAAACCUGAUGUCGUAGGUUCAAGUCCCACAGAGCGUG
RNAcentral lists this transfer RNA (73 nucleotides) under Porella gracillima. RNAcentral describes it as "tRNA-Trp". It matches the Rfam family "tRNA". Rfam says of the family: Transfer RNA (tRNA) molecules are approximately 80 nucleotides in length. Their secondary structure includes four short double-helical elements and three loops (D, anti-codon, and T loops). The record is from RNAcentral. RNAcentral also lists the same sequence under 2 other names. Lineage: Eukaryota; Viridiplantae; Streptophyta; Jungermanniopsida; Porellales; Porellaceae.